CACAAGUGGUCUAGGAAGGGUAGAGACUAGAGUGUAUGCGAACCUUUCCCCUGCCUCAAGGAGUUAGAGAGGUAAAACCAGAAGUGUGGUACUUAGUUGCGUUAGAACACCCGCCCAAACGAACGGCUCCGAAACAAACAAAAAAGGUGUGCCGCACUCACAAAGGAUUGCCAGUGAUAUGAUGGAAGAAGAUGGGGAUGACGUCAAGUCCACAUGACCCUUAUGGGUUGGGCCACACACGUGCUACAAUGGCAAUUACAAUGGGAAGCAACGCUGUAUCGCGGAGUGAAUGCAAAACGACUGCCUCAGUUUGAAUUGUUUUCUGCAACUCAGGCACAUAAAGUUGGAAUAGCUAGUAAUCGUAGAUCAGCAUGCCAGGGUGAAUAUGUACC
Molecule: non-coding RNA, 392 nt
Filed under: Solanum lycopersicum (tomato)
Lineage: Eukaryota; Viridiplantae; Streptophyta; Magnoliopsida; Solanales; Solanaceae
Also listed under: 1 other name
Description: Bacterial small subunit ribosomal RNA
Rfam family: Bacterial small subunit ribosomal RNA
Source: Rfam by way of RNAcentral